This 524-nucleotide ribosomal RNA is filed under the name uncultured bacterium. RNAcentral's name for it is "partial 16S ribosomal RNA". It matches the Rfam family "Bacterial small subunit ribosomal RNA", at positions 28 to 523 of the family's 1533-position model. The record is from RNAcentral.
GACGAACGCUGGCGGCGUGCUUAACACAUGCAAGUCGAACGGACAGACAGAGAGCUUGCUCUCUUGAAGUUAGUGGCGAACGGGUGAGUAACGCGUAAUCAACCUGCCCUUCAGAGGAGGAUAACAACGGGAAACCGUUGCUAAUACCGCGUACGAUUCAUGAACGGCAUCGUUUAUGAAUGAAAGGUGGCCUCUAUGUAUAAGCUAUCGCUGAAGGAGGGGAUUGCGUCUGAUUAGCUAGUUGGAGGGGUAACGGCCCACCAAGGCAAUGAUCAGUAGCCGGUCUGAGAGGAUGAACGGCCACAUUGGGACUGAGACACGGCCCAAACUCCUACGGGAGGCAGCAGUGGGGAAUCUUCCGCAAUGGACGAAAGUCUGACGGAGCAACGCCGCGCGAGUGAUGAAGGUCUUCGGAUUGUAAAGCUCUGUUAAUCGGGACGAAAGAGUUCUGCGUGAAUAAUGCAGAAAAGUGACGAUACCGGAAUAGAAAGCCACGGCUAACUACGUGCCAGCCGCCGCCGUAA